CCAUCCAUAAACCCCAAACUGAGAAGAGGGAAAGGAAAAUCAAUUAGAAGGAGUAAGAAGCUGCUCGUUUGACAUCGAUGGCAUCAGGAGGAGGGAACACGGUGGAGUGGCAAGUGCGGCCGCCGAACCCGAAGAACCCAAUCGUAUUCUUUGACAUAACCAUCGGUAACAUCCCCGCCGGCCGCAUCAAGAUGGAGCUCUUCGCCGAUAUCGCUCCCAAAACCGCAGAAAAUUUCAGGCAGUUCUGCACCGGCGAGUACAGGAAAGCCGGGUUGCCUGUGGGUUACAAGGGAUGCCAGUUCCAUAGAGUGAUUAAGGAUUUCAUGAUUCAGGCUGGUGACUUCUUAAAGGGUGAUGGUAGUGGAUGUAUUUCCAUCUACGGACAUAAGUUUGAUGAUGAAAAUUUUGUUGCCAAACACACUGGUCCUGGUCUGUUAUCAAUGGCAAAUAGCGGACCAAAUUCUAAUGGUAGUCAGUUCUUUAUAACUUGUGCAAAAUGCGACUGGCUUGACAAUAAGCACGUUGUAUUUGGGAGAGUGCUCGGAGAUGGCCUUUUGGUUGUCAGGAAGAUUGAGAAUGUGGCUACGGGACCCAACAACCGGCCUAAGCUCGCAUGUAUUAUUGCUGAGUGUGGGGAAAUGUAAACUUAGUUGAGAAACAUGCCUAACAUAAAUUAUAUCCACGACCCAUAGAUAGCUGAUUCUCCAAAUCAAAUAGAAUGUUUUUGUCUUUUGUCCUCUAUGGGGGUUAUUCUAUUAUCCAAUGCUGGUUCUACAUGAGUGGGAUCUUGAAGAGGUGGCUUGAAUAAAAGUCCCACAUAACCAUUUUUUUUUUCCAAUGAACUAUUUUCUAGACUCCAUUCACUUGGGAUUGAC
Molecule: RNA transcript, 875 nt
Organism: Juglans microcarpa x Juglans regia
Lineage: Eukaryota; Viridiplantae; Streptophyta; Magnoliopsida; Fagales; Juglandaceae
Gene name: peptidyl-prolyl cis-trans isomerase CYP22
Exons: 8
Source: RefSeq, a predicted model, not a curated record